This 93-nucleotide ribosomal RNA is filed under the name Bacillus sp. 491mf. RNAcentral also lists the same sequence under 1 other name. Lineage: Bacteria; Bacillati; Bacillota; Bacilli; Caryophanales; Bacillaceae. The record is from RNAcentral.
CACACCCGUUCCCAUACCGAACACGGAAGUUAAGCUCUCUAGCGCCGAUGGUAGUUGGGACUUUGUCCCUGUGAGAGUAGGACGUUGCCAGGC